This is a long non-coding RNA of Xenopus laevis (African clawed frog), 362 nucleotides long. RefSeq lists it as uncharacterized. The transcript is spliced from 2 exons. NCBI's taxonomy places the organism in Eukaryota, Metazoa, Chordata, Amphibia, Anura, Pipidae. The record is from RefSeq and is a predicted model, not a curated record.
GGCCUUAAUGACCAUUGGAGCUUAAUACCCUUUUUAUAAUUCGCCUUAUGAUAACACAAUUUUUUAAUCUUUUUACAGAUUUUGAAAAUCAAAUUUUCGCUUCUAAAGGGCUUUGAAAAUGGGAAAUCCUGCACUUUGUUUUAUAUGAUUGUCACAACAUGAACUUUUGAUAUAUUACAUAUAUCCACAUAUGGGAUCGUUUAAUGCUUACUAAUUAAUUUAUCAGGUGGGGGGUGUGGUUACACUCACCUCUGUGUGGUCUAUAUAAAUCGUUUUGUAAUUCACUUGUAUUCACACUUGAAAAAGGACAUAUGCUGUCCGAAACAUGUUGUGUGGAAAAUAAAAGAGCAUAUCAGCAGUAA